RNAcentral lists this long non-coding RNA (362 nucleotides) under Homo sapiens (human). Its description in RNAcentral is "novel transcript". The record is from RNAcentral. Lineage: Eukaryota; Metazoa; Chordata; Mammalia; Primates; Hominidae.
AGAGUGAGAUCCUGUCUCUAAAGAAAAAAAAAUUAAUUAAUUAUACAAGUAAUAUAUGAUUUUAUUCCCAUGCUAAAAAUAGUCAAACAACAAAGAUCAUGUAACAACCCAUGUAAUCAGUUUGGUUUUUUUUCCUCUGGUUCUUACUCAACGCAUUUACAUAUAUGUCUAGUGUAUACAGUAUACGCGUGUGCGGCGUACGCAGUAUACGCGUGUCCGGCAUACGCAGAAUAUGCGUGUCUGGUGUACGCAGUAUAUGCGUGUCUGGUGUAUGCAGUAUAUGCAUGUGUACAUAUGUAUGUACACAUAUAUAUCUAUAUAUAUAUCACAUUGUACAAUUUACAUUAUACUUUUUUCCUCUG